AUGGGUGUUAAGUGCUCCAAAGAGGUGGCCACCGCCAUCCGUGGGGCCAUCAUCCUGACCAAACUCUCCAUUGUCCCGGUGCGCAGAGGCUACUGGGGGAACAAGAUCGGCAAGCCCCACCCCGUCCCUUGCAAGGUGACAGGCCGCUGUGGCUCUGUGCUGGUGCGCCUCAUCCCUGCACCCAGGGGCACUGGCAUCGUCUCAGCGCCUGUGCCCAAGAAGCUGCUCAUGAUGGCUGGUAUUGAUGACUGCUACACCUCAGCCCGGAGCUGCACUGCCACCCUGGGCAACUUCGCCAAGGCCACCUUUGAUGCCAUCUCUAAGACCUACAGCUACCUGACCCCUGACCUGUGGAAGGAGACUGUUUUUUCCAAGUCUACCUAUCAGGAAUUCACUGACCACCUUGUCAAGAACCACACCAGAGUCUCCGUGCAGCGGACCCAGGCUCCAGCUGUGGCUACAACAUAGGCUUUUUAUAAAAGAAAAAAAAAGUGAAUUAAGCCUG
Molecule: RNA transcript, 505 nt
Organism: Rhinopithecus roxellana (golden snub-nosed monkey)
Lineage: Eukaryota; Metazoa; Chordata; Mammalia; Primates; Cercopithecidae
Gene name: 40S ribosomal protein S2 pseudogene
Exons: 1
Source: RefSeq, a predicted model, not a curated record